This 928-nucleotide ribosomal RNA is filed under the name Mocyta fungi. Its description in RNAcentral is "SSU rRNA". It matches the Rfam family "Eukaryotic small subunit ribosomal RNA", at positions 439 to 1298 of the family's 1831-position model. Lineage: Eukaryota; Metazoa; Arthropoda; Insecta; Coleoptera; Staphylinidae. The record is from RNAcentral.
AAUUACCCACUCCCAGCACGGGGAGGUAGUGACGAAAAAUAACGAUACGGGACUCAUCCGAGGCCCCGUAAUCGGAAUGAGUACACUUUAAAACUUUUCCCGAGGAUCAAUUGGAGGGUAAGUCUGGUGCCAGCAGCCGCGGUAAUUCCAGCUCCAAUAGCGUAUAUUAAAGUUGUUGCGGUUAAAAAGCUCGUAGUCGAAUCUGUGUCCCGCGCCGCUGGUUCAUCGCUCGCGGUGUUCAACUGGCGUGUCUCGCGGGACGUCCUGCCGGUGGGCGCUCGUCCGUUUCGGCGGUCGUGGCCCAACUCGCUUCCGUCUCGCGCGGUUGUGAAUCCCAUCGCGGUGCUCUUUAUUGAGUGUCGAGGUGGGCCGGCACGUUUACUUUGAACAAAUUAGAGUGCUUAAAGCAGGCCAAUUUUGCCUGAAUAUUGUGUGCAUGGAAUAAUGGAAUAGGACCUCGGUUCUAUUUUGUUGGUUUUCGGAACCCCGAGGUAAUGAUUAAUAGGAACGGAUGGGGGCAUUCGUAUUGCGACGUUAGAGGUGAAAUUCUUGGAUCGUCGCAAGACGGACAGAAGCGAAAGCAUUUGCCAAAAACGCUUUCAUUGAUCAAGAACGAAAGUUAGAGGUUCGAAGGCGAUCAGAUACCGCCCUAGUUCUAACCAUAAACGAUGCCAGCUAGCGAUCCGCCGACGUUCCUCCGAUGACUCGGCGGGCAGCUUCCGGGAAACCAAAGCUUUUGGGUUCCGGGGGAAGUAUGGUUGCAAAGCUGAAACUUAAAGGAAUUGACGGAAGGGCACCACCAGGAGUGGAGCCUGCGGCUUAAUUUGACUCAACACGGGACACCUCACCAGGCCCGGACACCGGAAGGAUUGACAGAUUGAGAGCUCUUUCUUGAUUCGGUGGGUGGUGGUGCAUGGCCGUUCUUAGU